Molecule: ribosomal RNA, 433 nt
Filed under: uncultured bacterium
Lineage: Bacteria
Description: partial 16S ribosomal RNA
Rfam family: Bacterial small subunit ribosomal RNA
Source: RNAcentral
AACGAACGCUGGCGGCAUGCCUAACACAUGCAAGUCGAACGAGACCUUCGGGUCUAGUGGCGCACGGGUGCGUAACGCGUGGGAACCUGCCCUUAGGUUCGGAAUAACUCCCCGAAAGGGGUGCUAAUACCGGAUAAUGUCUUCGGACCAAAGAUUUAUCGCCUUUGGAUGGGCCCGCGUUGGAUUAGCUAGUUGGUAGGGUAAAAGCCUACCAAGGCGACGAUCCAUAGCUGGUCUGAGAGGAUGAUCAGCCACACUGGGACUGAGACACGGCCCAGACUACUACGGGAGGCAGCAGUAGGGUAUAUUGGACAAUGGGCGAAAGCCUGAUCCAGCAAUGCCGCGUGGGUGAUGAAGACCUUAGGGUUGUUAAGCUCUUUUACCCGGGAUGAUACUGACAGUACCGGGAGAAUAAGCUCCGGCUAACUCCGUG